AUACGAAGGGGGCAAGCGUUGUUCGGAAUAACUGGGCGUAAAGCGCACGUAGGCGGAAUGUUAAGUUAGAGGUGAAAUCCCAGGGCUCAACCCUGGAACGGCCUUUAAUACUGGCAAUCUAGAGACCGAGAGAGGUGAGUGGAAUUCCGAGUGUAGAGGUGAAAUUCGUAGAUAUUCGGAGGAACACCAGUGGCGAAGGCGGCUUACUGGCUCGGUACUGACGCUGAGGUGCGAAAGCGUGGGGAGCAAACAGGAUUAGAUACCCUAGUAGUCC
Molecule: ribosomal RNA, 274 nt
Filed under: uncultured bacterium
Lineage: Bacteria
Description: partial 16S ribosomal RNA
Rfam family: Bacterial small subunit ribosomal RNA
Source: RNAcentral